This 254-nucleotide ribosomal RNA is filed under the name uncultured bacterium. RNAcentral describes it as "partial 16S ribosomal RNA". It matches the Rfam family "Bacterial small subunit ribosomal RNA", at positions 524 to 776 of the family's 1533-position model. The record is from RNAcentral.
CACGUAGGGUGCGAGCGUUGUCCGGAAUUAUUGGGCGUAAAGAGCUCGUAGGCGGUGUGUCGCGUCGGCCGUGAAAACCUGCAGCUUAACUGUGGGCGUGCGGUCGAUACGGGCAUCACUGGAGUUCGGCAGGGGAGAGUGGAAUUCCUGGUGUAGCGGUGAAAUGCGCAGAUAUCAGGAAGAACACCCGUGGCUAAGGCGGCUCUCUAGUACGGUACUGACGCUGAGACGCGAAAGCGUGGGGAGCGAACAGG